GACGAACGCUGGCGGCGUGCUUAACACAUGCAAGUCGAACGGAAAGGCCCUGCUUUUGUGGGGUGCUCGAGUGGCGAACGGGUGAGUAACACGUGAGUAACCUGCCCUUGACUUUGGGAUAACUUCAGGAAACUGGGGCUAAUACCGGAUAGGAGCUCCUGCUGCAUGGUGGGGGUUGGAAAGUUUCGGCGGUUGGGGAUGGACUCGCGGCUUAUCAGCUUGUUGGUGGGGUAGUGGCUUACCAAGGCUUUGACGGGUAGCCGGCCUGGGAGGGUGACCGGCCCCAUUGGCCUAGGGGAGGCCCCCGAGUCCCUUGGGGGGGCAUGGGCGGGGAUUUUUGCCAACGGGGCGGAGUCCUGGAGGAGGACCCCCGGGUGGGGAACGGCGGCUUUGGGGUUCAAAACCGCUUUGGCCCGUAACGAGGGGUAAUGGCCGUAACGGGAUAAAAAGCACCCGCCAACCUCGUG
This 467-nucleotide ribosomal RNA is filed under the name uncultured bacterium. RNAcentral describes it as "partial 16S ribosomal RNA". It matches the Rfam family "Bacterial small subunit ribosomal RNA", at positions 28 to 507 of the family's 1533-position model. The record is from RNAcentral.